UAGGGAAUCUUCGGCAAUGGGGGGAACCCUGACCGAGCAACGCCGCGUGAGUGAAGAAGGUUUUCGGAUCGUAAAGCUCUGUUGUUAAGGAAGAACGAGUGUGAGAAUGGAAAGUUCAUACUGUGACGGUACUUAACCAGAAAGGGACGGCUAACUACGUGCCAGCAGCCGCGGUAAUACGUAGGUCCCGAGCGUUGUCCGGAUUUAUUGGGCGUAAAGCGAGCGCAGGCGGUUAGAUAAGUCUGAAGUUAAAGGCAGUGGCUCAACCAUUGUAGGCUUUGGUAACUGUUUAACUUGAGUGCAGAAGGGGAGAGUGGAAUUCCAUGUGUAGCGGUGAAAUGCGUAGAUAUAUGGAGGAACACCGGUGGCGAAAGCGGCUCUCUGGUCUGUAACUGACGCUGAGGCUCGAAAGUGUGGGGAGCGAACAGG
This 429-nucleotide ribosomal RNA is filed under the name Bacteroidota bacterium. RNAcentral describes it as "Bacteroidetes bacterium partial 16S ribosomal RNA". It matches the Rfam family "Bacterial small subunit ribosomal RNA", at positions 355 to 776 of the family's 1533-position model. Lineage: Bacteria; Pseudomonadati; Bacteroidota. The record is from RNAcentral.